GGAGGGCGCAAGCGUUGUUCGGAAUCAUUGGGCGUAAAGCGCGUGUAGGCGGCUUGGCAAGUCGGGUGUGAAAGCCCGGGGCUCAACCCCGGAAUUGCACUCGAUACUGCCUCGCUAGAGUCCCGGAGAGGGUGGCGGAAUUCCCGGUGUAGAGGUGAAAUUCGUAGAUAUCGGGAGGAACACCAGCGGCGAAGGCGGCCACCUGGACGGCGACUGACGCUGAGACGCGAAAGCGUGGGGAGCAAACAGGAUUAGAUACCCUGGUAGUCCACGCCGUAAACGUUGGGUGCUAGGCGCUGCGGGUAUUGACCCCCUGCAGUGCCGACGUUAACGCAUUAAGCACCCCGCCUGGGGGAGUACGGUCGCAAGAUUA
This 373-nucleotide ribosomal RNA is filed under the name uncultured organism. Its description in RNAcentral is "partial 16S ribosomal RNA". It matches the Rfam family "Bacterial small subunit ribosomal RNA", at positions 527 to 896 of the family's 1533-position model. The record is from RNAcentral.